This is a non-coding RNA of Haplochromis burtoni (Burton's mouthbrooder), 984 nucleotides long. The record is from the annotation of a RefSeq genome assembly. NCBI's taxonomy places the organism in Eukaryota, Metazoa, Chordata, Actinopteri, Cichliformes, Cichlidae.
CUCAGCCCACUCAGACAACAUGCUGGUGACUCUCUGUGCUCUCAUCACUGCUCUAACAUGUGUGAGUGGUGUGACGGUGCUGACGCAGAAACCUCCUGUUCUAUCAGUGAGGAAAGGAGAGACAGCCACCAUGGACUGUAACCUGGGGACUGUUACUAACUAUGUUGCUGCCUGGCAUAAACAGAUUCCAGGAGGAAGUCCUCAGCAUGUGCUGUAUUUUCAUCAUAGCUAUAGUUCUCCAUACUAUGGCUCUGGGUUCUCUGCUCCAAAAUUCACAUCCACUCAUCAGUCAACAACAGAUUAUCGUUUGAUCAUCAAGAAUGUGGAGGAGGGAGACUCUGCAGUCUAUUACUGUCAGACAUGGGACGGCUCUGCUAACAGUGGGGUAUCACAGUGAUUUACACUGUGACAAAAACCUCCUCACAGAUACUUCUGCUUUUUGAUGCUCUUUCACAUGCUGAAAAAAAGACACAUCCGAGAAACACACUGAAAUCCCACCACCUUCAAAUACUGUGUUAUUUGUUUUGUUUUGUUUUUUUUAAUUAAUUUUAAUAUUCAUCAUUGAAAAUGUGAAUAAAGCAAGCAGAGGAAUAUAGAGAUAUUAUUCAGCCAAAACAUGUCAGAAGUGGACUAAUACUGUAUAUAACUAACAGUUAUCUAUAAGUAAUAGAAAUUUAGUAAACACCAGUCUCAGCUCUUAAAUAGUGAUAACUAUACAUCAGGCAGAAAUAAAUAUAAGACGAGAAGAAAACGUGUGAUGUGUGAGGAUAAGGGCAUUUGCAUUUAAACUACAACUGUUCUGAAUUUGUUGAGACUUGUUCUACCUCAUGUUCUUAUAAACGUUACUGUUUAUUCUUUUCACAUAAGUCCUGCUCACAUUUCAGCUAGAAAGAGAUUGGUGUUAACACCUAAAACUGUCAAUAAUCAGUUACAUAAUAUUUAUUCCCUUUACAACAAUAGUUUCAUGAGCAAUAUGUCAUGACA